Molecule: ribosomal RNA, 407 nt
Filed under: Clostridioides difficile
Lineage: Bacteria; Bacillati; Bacillota; Clostridia; Peptostreptococcales; Peptostreptococcaceae
Description: bacterial SSU rRNA
Rfam family: Bacterial small subunit ribosomal RNA
Source: RNAcentral
CACUCUAGAGAGACUGCCAGGGAUAACCUGGAGGAAGGUGGGGAUGACGUCAAAUCAUCAUGCCCCUUAUGCUUAGGGCUACACACGUGCUACAAUGGGUAGUACAGAGGGUUGCCAAGCCGUAAGGCGGAGCUAAUCCCUUAAAGCUACUCUCAGUUCGGAUUGUAGGCUGAAACUCGCCUACAUGAAGCUGGAGUUACUAGUAAUCGCAGAUCAGAAUGCUGCGGUGAAUGCGUUCCCGGGUCUUGUACCCACCGCCCGUCACACCACGGGAGUUGGAGACGCCCGAAGCCGAUUAUCUAACCUUUUGGAAGAAGUCGUCGAAGGUGGAAUCAAUAACUGGGGUGAAGUCGUAACAAGGUAGCCGUAUCGGAAGGUGCGGCUGGAUCACCUCCUUUCUAAGGAGA